RNAcentral lists this ribosomal RNA (484 nucleotides) under uncultured bacterium. RNAcentral's name for it is "partial 16S ribosomal RNA". It matches the Rfam family "Bacterial small subunit ribosomal RNA", at positions 30 to 507 of the family's 1533-position model. The record is from RNAcentral.
AUUGAACGCUGGCGGCAGGCCUAACACAUGCAAGUCGAGCGGAUGAAGGGAGCUUGCUCCUGGAUUCAGCGGCGGACGGGUGAGUAAUGCCUAGGAAUCUGCCUGGUAGUGGGGUAUAACGUCCGGAAACGGGCGCUAAUACCGCAUACGUCCUGAGGGAGAAAGUGGGGGAUCUUCGGACCUCGCGCUAUCAGAUGAGCCUAGGUCGGAUUAGCUAGUUGGUGGGGUAAAGGCCUACCAAGGCGACGAUCCGUAACUGGUCUGAGAGGAUGAUCAGUCACACUGGAACUGAGACACGGUCCAGACUACUACGGGAGGCAGCAGUGGGGAAUAUUGGACAAUGGGCGAAAGCCUGAUCCAGCCAUGCCGCGUGUGUGAAGAAGGUCUUCGGAUUGUAAAGCACUUUAAGUUGGGAGGAAGGGCAGUAAGUUAAGACCUUGCUGUUUUGACGUUACCAACAGAAUAAGCACCGGCUAACUUCGUG